Molecule: long non-coding RNA, 2130 nt
Filed under: Pandoravirus neocaledonia
Description: hypothetical ncRNA
Source: RNAcentral
GACAUCCUUGUCAAACCAGGGCGCGUGCGCAUACGUGUAGCACCCGAUCUCGUGCUGCCGCCGGAGGGCAGCGUCCUCGGGACUCCCGUCGUUGGCCAGUGGCUCGCGGCAGCCCGAACAGUAGCAGCGCUUGCACGCUUGGCAGACGAGGCACACCAUGUUAAAGGCAAACAUGCGGUCCAGGUGGACCGUGGCGUUGCACCCGUCAUAGGGGCACGUCGAUAUCCAAUACUGCGGGUUGGUCGUCGUCGCGCGGCGUCGAUACUCGGCCUCGGCCAUGGCACGCAGACGUGUCAGGCCCUUUUGACGCGUGAGCCUCAGUGCCCUGUGUCGGUCCGAGUUGACGUCGUCAUCAUCAUUGUCAUUAACAUCGUCACCCCCGCGACGGUCUUGAUCAGCGUCAUCGAGAGCGGUGCCAGGCAACGCCGUGUUGUAGAGGUCGACCGAAUGAAAGUCGUCGUCCUCGCCGACAGUGGCAAUAUCGGGGUCGUCGGCUACGGCCUCGCACGCCAUGCCAAACGUGACCCCAAAGGCGCGCUGUAUCGCAGCGGGUCGGCAUCGUUCGACGAGGGCGCGCACAAAGCGCGGACCCAACACAAACGGGCAGCGCGCGAUGGUGCUCGAUGCAAUUACCGACGGAUCGACUGCUGCCACGCUGCCGCCACGGGGCAGCGGGCGCGUGCCCACAGGCGGCGGCGGCUGCGUGAGCCACACGCUGGUAAAGCCCGGACAGCGCACGGGCCAGCGGCCCUCCAAGACAUGGUCACUGUCGUCAUCGUCGAGGGGCAGAUCGAGUUCCAUGUGCGCAAUCAAGCACGACGCACAAUAGGCGUGGCGUGCCCCGUGAAGCGGGCACACAAAUCCAUCCACGGGCACGCCGUCCACAGCAGGGUCGACGGCAGUGUCGGCGUCUUGUCCGUCGAGCGCAUCAUCGUCAUUGUUGUCGCCAUCGCGUCCCGGCGGCGGUGGCGCGCGGCGUUGAGGCCCACACGCAAUCGGCGCGUUUUGGUUGGUGCAGGCAAAGCGUCUACCGCAGCGCUCGCCGACGCACGUAUAAACGCGCGCUGCGGACUCGGCAUCCAAGAGGCGGCGGAAAGAGAGCGCGGGCGGGAGCGCACCAUCGUCGGCGGUCGACAAGCGCACUCCAUUGUGGUCGACGUGACGGUUGCCAUCGUCCUGGCGGUCGAUGGCAUUGUGGCGCACACCCACGAGCCGCACCUCGCACACCUCGCGCGCGGCCGCAUCAGACGACUCGCGCACGAAUCGCUUGUGGAGGGCGCUCAAUGCAAGGCGCGAUGACGAUUGUGUCUGCGGACGCGGACCCGACGUGCGACCUGGCGGACGGCCUCGGCGUGGACGCGGCGGAGCCUCGAUCUGCUCCUCGACCUGACGGCGCUUGGCCAAUGGUUCGUCUUCCGCCGGGGGUCGCUCGCGUCCGGCCGUUUUCUCGGUGCGCUGACGGUCCAUGCGGUGAUGUUGGUGAUCGCCCCCAUAAAGGGGAUUGCUCUCCGCGUUUAAAGGGACAUUAACGGGUCUGCUGUCGUCGUCGUUGUCGUCGUCAUCAUCACCAUCACCAUCACCCGCGCCUCCAUAUUGGUCAUCGCCAUACGGAUCAUCCUCGUCGGGGUACAGCGGUCCGAUGCUUUCGAUUGUGCUCAUGAGCAUGCUGUUGAGUGCUUCGUCCGACAUGUCAUAGGGCAUAUAGAGUCCUGACCGUUGUGGUUCGCAUGCCUCGACGACGCCCAGGCAGAGAGAAGCGUCUCGCACGCUACCCCUUUCGUUGGCGGCAGUGCCAGCGGCGUUGCUCGUCUGAGACUCGGUCGGCGAGGGCGUGGAGACGUUGGUGUCGGGUACUGUGCCAUGUUCGAGUACGACGGUGCAGUCUCGGCCGUCCUGUUCCUCGGUGGUGUCCAUGGCAACAACGGCUGUGUCGCCUUCGGGUGUCUCGGCAGGCUGCUCUUGGUGCGUCGCCAAGAGGCCGAUCGCAGUAUUGCGAUUGUUGUCGUCGUCGUCUUUGUGGGUAUUGUCAGCCAUUGACAUUGAUGGAUAUGCGCCAAAUGGGUAGAAAGAGAAAAAAAAAGAGAGAAAACCAACGAUGGGGCGCUAUGUGUAUGCAGGAGGGAAAAAAAC